Non-coding RNA from Neolamprologus brichardi, 313 nucleotides. The record is from RefSeq and is a predicted model, not a curated record. NCBI's taxonomy places the organism in Eukaryota, Metazoa, Chordata, Actinopteri, Cichliformes, Cichlidae.
CACGGAGCUUCCUGAAACAAUUGAGUUCACAGAAAACAGAAAAACCUUGUUGCCACUGCACAAUGAGACAUUUGCUGCUAUCUGGGAGAUACCUGAUGAGGGCAAACUUGAGGCAGGUAGGAACAGUGACCCAUUCCAGAGGGAUGUUCAACAGGAUGUUUAACACUGCAUACAGCCGCCCCCUCCAGUGUUUCAGAAGUAGAGGAACCCUGUCUGUGCCAGCAACUUUGUUGGGUUUGACGUGGCUUAGGGGCCGUUUCAUUUCAUGGGUCCCUGUCACCAGUGCAGAUGAUGGAGAGAAAAAGGAGUCAUC